UUUCCCCCCGUUAUAUAGCAAAGAUCACGAAAAGGCCCGAAAAAGUACAUUUAGUUCAAAAUUUGGAGUAGAAAGAAAAACAAUAGAAGAAUUCCAUUUUCCUUCGUCAUUCAUCUGAGAGCUCUCUUUAGGCUUUCCGAAAAGGUAUCACAUGCCAAGUUUGGCCUCACGGUCUAAAAGUUAUAGAGUCAUACAUUUUUAACAAAACAAAAUAGAGAAAAACCGAAAAAGAGGGAUUUAAGACGAGGACUUUCUGAGAGGUAACCCAUCCGAGUACUACACUCGCCCAAGCACCCUUAACUACGGAGUUCUGAUGGGAUACGGUGCAUUAGUGCUGGUUUGAUCGCAUGUGUUACUACAUGCAAUGUAAUCGUAUCUAUUCUUUUUUAAAGACUUUAUGAUCCAUUUGCCGUGGGUGCCACCAACUAUGUAGGAUUAUCCUAUAUUCUUUAUAAGAUCUU
RNAcentral lists this small RNA (461 nucleotides) under Arabidopsis thaliana (thale cress). Its description in RNAcentral is "ATSL164300". The record is from RNAcentral. Lineage: Eukaryota; Viridiplantae; Streptophyta; Magnoliopsida; Brassicales; Brassicaceae.